This 1488-nucleotide long non-coding RNA is filed under the name Laticauda laticaudata (blue-ringed sea krait). Its description in RNAcentral is "lncRNA (ENSLLTG00000004524.1)". The record is from RNAcentral. Lineage: Eukaryota; Metazoa; Chordata; Lepidosauria; Squamata; Elapidae.
GGGAGCCGCGCCGAAAGUAGCCCGUCCCCCGCGGGAAGCGGGGGGGGAGAGAGAGAAAGGAAUACUUCCAGAAGCUUCGACACCGCGGUCCGACUUACCCCCGCGUUGCCUGAGGUGGUGAAGGAAAGGAGGCCUAGCCGACCGGGCCUGCCUUGGGGCUCCUCCGCGCGCCUUUUUCCUCCCCCCCCCGCCCUUCCGCGCCUCAGUCGUCGUCGUCGACCUUCCGGCCUUGCUUUCUUCCCCAACCAGACGAGGCGUCGUGCGAUCUCCCUCGCUCGCUCCGGUUCCCUCCUUCGUCGUCGUCUUUUUUUACCUCAGACACUUCCCCAAGGCCUGUGAGGGAGUGAGGGCCCUCGGCGGGAAAUAAUCCAACAGGCCGCCGUAGGUAGAGGAGGAAGAGGAGGGUCGAAGCGAGGCCUUCUGAGGGGAAGGACGUGGGAUAGAAGGGUCGUCGUCGUCGUCGUCUCUCCCGGUUUGAGCGCGGCGACUGAGGCCAGCGAGGCGGGCGGAGGAUUCAAUUCGGCGGCGGCGGCGGCGGCGCUGGGGAUUGUUUGGGGUGUUCGCAGCUCGGCGGCUGGCGAGGGAAUGGAGGGCGCAGGCGCCACCUGGCGGCCACCGAGCCCGCCACGUUCGGGCGGGCCUAGAGCGGCACCUGCUGGGAGGACUUAGGAAUGCAGGAAGGGGGGGAGGGAGAGCAAAAGAGAGUGAGAGAGCGUGCGCGCCCACUUGGUGCUCCGUCCGGGCUGGCCGAAAAAACGGGGUAAACAAGGUGCCGCGCACGCGCUGUCUCUUUUUUCCUCCCUUGACUCGAAUCGCCACGCCUUCCUCGCCGCCGUGACGUCAUCGCCCCUCAAGGCCCCGCCCAUGCCUGUUCUGCCUUGGAGCGCGCGGGAGGUGCUGAGCGGCACGUAGCGCCCCAGGUGGGGGAGGGGAGGAAAGAGGGCGGCAUUUUUUGGCCUUUGGAAGAGGCUGCAACUGCAAUCGGGCUGCUUGCGAUCAAAGACCAACCUUGGAGCUUGGUGGGACUUCAAUUCCCAGAAUUCCCCCAACCUUAAUUAGCAUCUUUUGCCAGAGUUGAUAAGUGAAGCAUUGCAGUCACUAAGCGAAUCAAGCAAUGGUUCAAUGAUUCCGGCUCCUCCCCCCACUGACUUUGAAUAUUGGAAGAGGUUGCAUCAGGGGAAGUGAUCCCCCCCAGAACAUUGCAACUGGCAUAAGUACAUGCCAGUUUCCAAGCAUCCCAAUUUUGAUCAUGUGACAUUGGGGAGGCUGUAAUAGUCUUGUAAGUAUGAAAACAAGUCAGCAGAUACAUUUUUUUUUCAGUGCCGUCAUUUCCCCUCCCCCGAUUCUGUUCUAUUGUAUUUUAUUAAUUUGAUUCUUUUUGUUAGUUUUUAUUUUUUAUUUUAAAUACAGUUUUACAUUGUGUAAGCUGCCUCCAGUUGCCAUAGGCGAAUAUUUAAUUAUUUAAUCUUGGUGCCUAUUCGCCCGUGG